RNAcentral lists this long non-coding RNA (255 nucleotides) under Mustela putorius furo (domestic ferret). RNAcentral's name for it is "lncRNA (ENSMPUG00000027144.1)". The record is from RNAcentral. Lineage: Eukaryota; Metazoa; Chordata; Mammalia; Carnivora; Mustelidae.
ACUUUAUGGAUGCUGUGAAAGAGAACAAGCCCACUUGAUUUCUGGUUCAUAUAGUGUUCAGCCAAUAAGAAGACAUGGCAAGAGAUCUGAAGAAGAGAGGGAAAAGAUUGUUUACAGGAUAAAACUACACAGAGCUACAAAAUACCCACUUAAGAAUGCCCCCAAGCAGAUGAAAGAUGAGGGAAGAAAAGGAAUUUGAAAAAUUCCAAGUUUAUUUUUCCUAGAAAAAUAAGGAUCAGACAAAUAAGAAAGAAC